Molecule: long non-coding RNA, 1780 nt
Organism: Triticum aestivum (bread wheat)
Lineage: Eukaryota; Viridiplantae; Streptophyta; Magnoliopsida; Poales; Poaceae
Exons: 2
Source: RefSeq, a predicted model, not a curated record
CCUUGCUUGAUCUCCUUCACCAGAAGCUCCGAUUAUUUUUGCGGCUCGCCUUGUUUGGUGGUUGUUCACACCAUCCAUCGUUUACUGGGAUCAACACAUAAUCCCCGCGAUGUCAUCUAUCUGCCGCCAUUCAGGACCGAAGCUGCAGCCCACCGGCCGGCACCAAAGGUUAUUCUCAAUAUCACAAUACUCUACCCGUGAGAAUCUCUGCCGCCGCACAUGGUCGUUCCUAUCGCCCACUACAUCUGAAUGAAUUCCUACGCCAGCUUAGCAACUACUGUCUGCUGGGACGAUUAAUCUUCACUUUUACUAUUUUUCAGUCGUCUGAAAACAAAUUCGUCUCAGGUCGUUUUUUAGUCCGUCCGAUUCGCACCAAUCUCAGUGAUUUUCGUUUGUCCUCGGUUGGUUGUGGGUACGAGGCAGACCUUUUUCUGUGUUGUUGGGCUUUCGGGUUUGCGGGUCCAUGGUUUACGUUAUUCGAUCCACGAAACGCCAGGUGUUUUUGAAUUUUCUAUUCAGUCUGUGGGGCGGCGGCCUUUGUUGUAUCUGAGGAGGGGAUUGGUGGGGGGUGGGCCGAGGCGGGGCGGAGACGGCGGAGGGAAGGUGGCGGAGGGGAGGCGGGGGCGUCCUCGCCGGUGUUUAGCAACAGAGAUGGCGUGCGCCGAGUCCUCCGCGAGGAGAGCUUGUAAGCAGGAGGCAUGCUUCACAGUGCCGGCUGCACGCAGGUCAGAUGUCGGUUUGGAGAGGAGCUCGGCGGAGCUGCGCCGCCAUGUCCGCCACCAGCAAGCUUCAGUCGGUGGGUGCGACGGCAGUCGGCGGCGCCAUUGGGGCGCAAGGAAGGUGAUCAUGUUUUUAUUGAGUUCUUCUCUGCCAAGUGGAACAACAGGGACACAAGCCUUAUCUAACUAUAGUACAUUUUCUUUAUGUAUAGAUGAUUCACAAGUAAGGUGAUCAUCACAUAAAUGCAGCAUGUAUAUAUAAAUGAAAAUUUUAGGGAAGGGAGGGCAGUGUGUUGUUACCCAACGCAGCCCCCUAAACGGGUGAGAGAGAGGGGUGGUGGGGGUGGACAGUGUGGGUUCCUUUUGUUAGUCAACCUUCACGUUUUUGCAUUAACGGGUCUGCUAGGAGGCCCGUUUCAGGGCAGGUUCCUUUUACGUAAACUAGAAGGAGCCCAAGAGGCUUCGGCAGAUUUUCGACCUGAAGCAGGAAAGAAACAGACGUUUUUCUGUACUAAUGAGUUUCUAGACAGAGUAUAUACUUAGACAGGUGUCAAUCAUUGAGUGGAAUAAAAAACGACCUGACACCAAUUUAAAAUCAGUCGCCUGUUCAUUAGUCACUCCCUUAAUCUUUCUACUUGUGUCUUGGUCUACACGAUUUUCUUUCUUGAUCAGCAGUUCGUCUAUCUCUCGCACUGAAGGAUUUUAGAGUGGCCAGAUCGAUUUUGCACAACUGAACCUUUUUUCUCUGCCUUAUCUUCCAGGUGCUGCUUUAUGCCCAUGGGGAUUCCCUUAUCUUAGAAAAGUGUAAUGUAGGCAAAUAGUUUUGGGGGAUUACAAGGUCAACUGCUCGAUCCAUAUGGAUACGGUUCAGCAUUAUAGUGAAAUCGCAAGGUUUCACUUUUGACAUAAUUUUUCUGCUUGACAUUUCUUAAGCCUGGCUCUUGUAUAUUAUUCAUCUGCUGCAACCAAAAUCAUUUCUGUUAUUUUUUACACAUCUGCGUGCAAUAGUUGUUAUAAAUCACGACCUUCAAAUUAAGUUUAUAAGUGAUAUUUACUUAUUU